This 570-nucleotide ribosomal RNA is filed under the name Vibrio sp. RNAcentral's name for it is "bacterial SSU rRNA". It matches the Rfam family "Bacterial small subunit ribosomal RNA", at positions 887 to 1456 of the family's 1533-position model. Lineage: Bacteria; Pseudomonadati; Pseudomonadota; Gammaproteobacteria; Vibrionales; Vibrionaceae. The record is from RNAcentral.
CGCAAGAUUAAAACUCAAAUGAAUUGACGGGGGCCCGCACAAGCGGUGGAGCAUGUGGUUUAAUUCGAUGCAACGCGAAGAACCUUACCUACUCUUGACAUCCAGAGAACUUUCAAGAGAUGGAUUGGUGCCUUCGGGAACUCUGAGACAGGUGCUGCAUGGCUGUCGUCAGCUCGUGUUGUGAAAUGUUGGGUUAAGUCCCGCAACGAGCGCAACCCUUAUCCUUGUUUGCCAGCGAGUAAUGUCGGGAACUCCAGGGAGACUGCCGGUGAUAAACCGGAGGAAGGUGGGGACGACGUCAAGUCAUCAUGGCCCUUACGAGUAGGGCUACACACGUGCUACAAUGGCGCAUACAGAGGGCAGCCAACUUGCGAAAGUGAGCGAAUCCCAAAAAGUGCGUCGUAGUCCGGAUUGGAGUCUGCAACUCGACUCCAUGAAGUCGGAAUCGCUAGUAAUCGUGGAUCAGAAUGCCACGGUGAAUACGUUCCCGGGCCUUGUACACACCGCCCGUCACACCAUGGGAGUGGGCUGCAAAAGAAGUAGGUAGUUUAACCUUCGGGGGGACGCUUA